UUUCUAUGACAAUAUCAAUGUGAUCGCAUGAUCUCUUGUGCAAGUUAACCAGUGCUAAUUAAAACAUGUAUCCACUUCGAGUCUUACUUAAGUACUUACAAGACGUAAGUGGAGUGUUAAGAAUAUUACGCAUGUUGAUGAUUAAAAUUUGAUUAACCCAAGAGAUAGAAUUUUUUAUACAUGAUUGUAAAUAUUAACAUACACUUGUCAAAUUAAAAUAAUUUUCAGCCGGUACCAAAUAAAAUUUUCGGUAAAUGAAUUAAUUAACAAAAGAUAAUCCAAUUGUGCAUUUAAUCAUGGAAUGGACAAGGAUUUCACAAAUUCUUUGUAUGUUUGGUUUUCUUAAAGAAUUCAGACCAAGUGAGCCAUUUAUAUAUAAUUAUCUAACAAGUCAUGGAAAAAAUUUUACUGAUAAACAGGUGAACCAAGAAAUAUAUCCAAUUGCUACUUACAGUAAUUUUGCAACUUUAGUAGUAGUUUUUCUGUUGACUGAUUUUUUGAGAUAUAAACCGGUUAUUAUAUUAUGUGGUAUCUCAGGAAUUGCUGCAUACAUCAUUUUGAUUGUUGGAAACUCUAUUCCGAUUAUUCAAGUAGUAGAAUUUUUAUAUGGUUUAUAUUUUUCUACAGAAGUUGCUUACUAUACUUAUAUUUAUGCCAAAGUUGACAAAGAACAUUAUCAAAUUGUAUCAAGUUAUAUCAGAUCAGCUUUAUUAUUUGGAAGAUUUAUCACUGGUGUUGUAGCUCAAUUAACUAUUUCAUUUAGUAUCUUGAACUAUCAUGAGCUUAAUUAUCUCACAUUGCUAGGACAAGUGCUAGCUACAUUGUGGGCCGUCUUCCUUCCAUCAGUAAAACAAUCAGUAUAUUUUCACCGUCCUGAAGAUUCACCUGAUAAGGACGAUUGCAUAACUAAUUCAAGAGUGACAACUGAAGGCUUAUACCCUAAUCAAUCUUUUAUUCAAAAAACUAAACGAGCUUACUAUUUACUAUGGAAAGAUUUUAUAAAAGCUUAUACAAAUAUUCAUGUAUUGAAAUGGUCAUUUUGGUGGGCAGCAGCAAGUUGUGGAUAUUUACAAGUACUUAGUUACGCUCAAAUAAUUUGGGAGACAUGUGUUAAAACAGAUGACAUAAUUUAUAAUGGAGCAGUAGAGGCGUUUUAUACAAUAAUUGGUGGUCUCACGGUAUUUGGAGUUGGAAAACUACAAUUAAACUGGGAGUUACUUGGCGAAAUAAUUCUAUCAUUUUUCUCCAUCAUAGAAGCUAUUUUAUUAUUUUUUAUGACAAAAACCUAUAAUAUUUGGUUACAAUACACAUUAUAUAUAAUAUUUGGUGUCAUCUAUCAUACCAUUGUGACAAUCGCCAGUUUCGAAGUGGCAAAAAACAUAUCUGAAGAUAGUUUUGGCCUCAUCUUUGGGAUAAAUGUAUUUUUAGGAUUAACCUUCCAAAGUAUUUUAACAUUUAUAGUUAUCGGUGGAAAUCAUUUUUUACUAGAUAUCAGAGGCCAGUUUACAGUCUAUUCUGCAUAUUUUGGAGUACUUGGUGCCAUAUUUGGAGUCAUAGCAGUUUUUACAAUAACUUCAUUGUGUAGAAGACAAGAGAAGCUUACAAUAUGGACUGAAGUUAAAGAUGAUCGAAACAGUCAUUGAUGCUCAUCUAAUAGGCUGAAUUAAAUAAAUAUGGAAUUAAUUAUUAUAGUAUUUAUUAUUUGUAUUUUUAGUAUUUUCAUUACAGUAUUGUGAUUGUGAUAUGGAAAUAAUAUCUUUUUUUUGUUUCAUAGUUUAUUAUAGUUAUAAUAUUUGUUGAUAAAAUUAAUGGAUUUAUGUUACUUUUUAAAAGUAUAUUUUUUAUUAAAUUUUUAUAUAGUUCUAAAUCUAAAAGAUUCAGGAAUAAAGGGGAAAUAAUUUUAAACGUGAUUUUUCAUUAUUUUAUCCUUUUACAUUGUCACAUUAAUUUGAUAAAUUAAUCGCAAAGAGAAAGAUUUCCAUUGAAACAAUCAAGAAUUGUUAUUUAAUCGAUUUGUUGCUGUAAAGUAGUUAAAAAAAACAAUAAUGAUAAUUAUGACCUUGUCUCUAAAAUGAAUAUUUUUCUAACAUUAAAAUUUCCAAAUGCAUUAAAGUGUCUAGUCACGAAUGUGAAUAUUAUCCAAUGGAACAUCAAAAUAUGUCAGGAGUCUUCUGUUUUCUCCGGAUAUUUUGCAGUAUUUAAUAUGUUUAUUAUAAGCCCAUUCUCUAUAAUAACAAUGUUAUGUAAAACAAAAAGAAAGGAAAAGCCAGUAUCGGAGAUAAAAAAUCAUGGGAGCAAUUAUUUCCACUCAAAAAAUCAUAAAAGAGGUUGUUAUUUCCAAGAUUAUAUUCAAUAAAUUAUUCACAUACGAAAAAAUAAAAUUAAUUUGUCUCUAAUGGAGA
This 2402-nucleotide unclassified non-coding RNA is filed under the name Chelonus insularis. RNAcentral's name for it is "thiamine transporter 2-like, transcript variant X2". Lineage: Eukaryota; Metazoa; Arthropoda; Insecta; Hymenoptera; Braconidae. The record is from RNAcentral.